Molecule: ribosomal RNA, 301 nt
Filed under: uncultured bacterium
Lineage: Bacteria
Description: partial 16S ribosomal RNA
Rfam family: Bacterial small subunit ribosomal RNA
Source: RNAcentral
CAGUAGCCACGGUAAUACGUAGGUGGCAAGCGUUGUCCGGAAUUAUUGGGCGUAAAGGGCUCGCAGGCGGUUUCUUAAGUCUGAUGUGAAAGCCCCCGGCUCAACCGGGGAGGGUCAUUGGAAACUGGGAAACUUGAGUGCAGAAGAGGAGAGUGGAAUUCCACGUGUAGCGGUGAAAUGCAUAGAGAUGUGGAGGAACACCAGUGGCGAAGGCGACUCUCUGGUCUGUAACUGACGCUGAGGAGCGAAAGCGUGGGGAGCGAACAGGAUUAGAUACCCGGGUAGUCCCUGUCUCUUAUAC